This is a non-coding RNA of Pteropus alecto (black flying fox), 124 nucleotides long. The record is from Rfam. NCBI's taxonomy places the organism in Eukaryota, Metazoa, Chordata, Mammalia, Chiroptera, Pteropodidae.
UCUAACAGCCAUGCUACCCUAACCUGAACGUGCCCAAUCUUGUCUGAUCUCAGAAGCUUAGCAGGGUCGGGCCUGGUUAGUACUUGGAUUGGAGACCACCUAGGAAUACCAGGUGCUGUAGGCG